Molecule: transfer RNA, 85 nt
Filed under: Verrucomicrobia bacterium CG1_02_43_26
Lineage: Bacteria; Pseudomonadati; Verrucomicrobiota
Also listed under: 4 other names
Description: tRNA-Leu
Rfam family: tRNA
About the family: Transfer RNA (tRNA) molecules are approximately 80 nucleotides in length. Their secondary structure includes four short double-helical elements and three loops (D, anti-codon, and T loops).
Source: RNAcentral
GCCUGGAUGGUGGAAUUGGCAGACACGCCAGACUUAGGAUCUGGUACCGCAAGGUGUGUGGGUUCGACUCCCUCUCCAGGCACCA